Molecule: ribosomal RNA, 462 nt
Filed under: uncultured bacterium
Lineage: Bacteria
Description: bacterial SSU rRNA
Rfam family: Bacterial small subunit ribosomal RNA
Source: RNAcentral
AACGAACGCUGGCGGCAUGCCUAACACAUGCAAGUCGAGCGAGACCUUCGGGUCUAGUGGCGCACGGGUGCGUAACGCGUGGGAAUCUGCCCUUAGGUUCGGAAUAACUUCGGGAAACUGAAGCUAAUACCGGAUGAUGACGUAAGUCCAAAGAUUUAUCGCCUAAGGAUGAGCCCGCGUUGGAUUAGCUAGUUGGUGAGGUAAAGGCUCACCAAGGCGACGAUCCAUAGCUGGUCUGAGAGGAUGAUCAGCCACACUGGGACUGAGACACGGCCCAGACUCCUACGGGAGGCAGCAGUGGGGAAUAUUGGACAAUGGGCGAAAGCCUGAUCCAGCAAUGCCGCGUGAGUGAUGAAGGCCUUAGGGUUGUAAAGCUCUUUUACCCGUAGAUGAUAAUGACAGUAUCGGGAGAAUAAGACUCCGGCUAACUCCGUGCCAGCAGCCGCGGUAAAGUGACUACUG